This 119-nucleotide ribosomal RNA is filed under the name Pteropus alecto (black flying fox). Lineage: Eukaryota; Metazoa; Chordata; Mammalia; Chiroptera; Pteropodidae. The record is from RNAcentral.
GUCUAUGGCCAUGACACCCUGAACACACCUGAUCUUGUCUGAUCUCGGAAGCUAAGUAGAGUUGGGCUUGGUUAGUACUUAAAUAGGAGACUACCUAGAAAGACUAGGUGCUGUAGGCG